ACUUUUCUUUUCCAGGACUUAGGUUGGAAGCACAGUGUUUGUUUACUGCAUUGCCCUUGGGUUUGCCUCUGGCUUGUGCUUCCUGGGGGAAAGGCAGUGGGACUGCUGCUGGUUCCUAAAACAUUGACAGUCUGUCAUGGCCUUCUGGUAGUGAAACCAUUUUGCUAACAGCAGCUUCAGGCUCUUCUCCACACUAUUUCCCUUAUCAGCACAUCGCUUGGUGCGUUCGCAGUGUCUCGGUGCAGCCGGAUUAUUAUAAGCCUUUAUUUGACUCCUGCAAACCAAGGUCUUA
This 292-nucleotide long non-coding RNA is filed under the name Manacus vitellinus (golden-collared manakin). RNAcentral's name for it is "lncRNA (ENSMVIG00005018074.1)". The record is from RNAcentral. Lineage: Eukaryota; Metazoa; Chordata; Aves; Passeriformes; Pipridae.